GAUGAACGCUGGCGGCGUGCCUAAUACAUGCAAGUCGAGCGAACAGAUGAGGAGCUUGCUCCUCUGACGUUAGCGGCGGACGGGUGAGUAACACGUGGAUAACCUACCUAUAAUACUGGGAUAACUUCGGGAAACCGGAGCUAAUACCGGAUAAUAUAUUGAACCGCAUGGUUCAAUAGUGAAAGACGGUUUUGCUGUCACUUAUAGAUGGAUCCGCGCCGCAUUAGCUAGUUGGUAAGGUAACGGCUUACCAAGGCAACGAUGCGUAGCCGACCUGAGAGGGUGAUCGGCCACCCUGGAGCUGGAACACGGACCAGGCUCCUGCGGGAGGCAGCAGUAGGGAAUCUUCCGCAAUGGGCGAGAGCCUGACGGAACAACGCCGCGUGAGUGAUGAAGGUCUUCGGAUCGUAAAACUCUGUUAUUAGGGAAGAACAAAUGUGUAAGUAACUAUGCACGUCUUGACGGUACCUAAUCAGAAAGCCACGGCUAACUACGUG
This 497-nucleotide ribosomal RNA is filed under the name uncultured bacterium. RNAcentral's name for it is "partial 16S ribosomal RNA". It matches the Rfam family "Bacterial small subunit ribosomal RNA", at positions 28 to 507 of the family's 1533-position model. The record is from RNAcentral.